UACGUAGGGGGCAAGCGUUGUCCGGAAUUAUUGGGCGUAAAGAGCGCGUAGGCGGUCCGAUAAGUCGGCUGUGAAAGUCAGGGGCUCAACCCUUGAAAGCCGGCCGAUACUGUCGGACUAGAGUCCGGAAGAGGCAAGUGGAAUUCCCGGUGUAGCGGUGAAAUGCGCAGAUAUCGGGAGGAACACCAAUGGCGAAGGCAGCACUCUGGGACGUGACUGACGCUGAGACGCGAAAGCGUGGGGAGCAAACAGG
RNAcentral lists this ribosomal RNA (253 nucleotides) under uncultured bacterium. Its description in RNAcentral is "partial 16S ribosomal RNA". It matches the Rfam family "Bacterial small subunit ribosomal RNA", at positions 524 to 776 of the family's 1533-position model. The record is from RNAcentral.